CUGCCGACGUCGGCAUCGAUGCAAUGCAGGAGGAGAGAACUCGAAGUGGGAGCAGGUGAAGGCGGAUCGGAUGGAAGCGAUGAGGUUGUGGCAGGAGGUGCUUGUGGCUUAUGAGGAUAAGGAUGAAGUCGCGCCCAUCUCCAAGAAGGAAAAGAAGAAUAUAGAUGAUAGAAGAAAAAAAAGAAUAAAAAGUAAAAAAAAAAUUAAAGAAAAAAUCUCUUCAUGAAGGACCGUUAUGUAUUGUCGCUGUUACAGAAAAGGCUAAGAAUCAGAGAAAGAGGAAGAAGAAGAUGAUGGUUGCACUGUUAAAAUAACAUUGCACUAUUUCACAAGAAA
Molecule: long non-coding RNA, 336 nt
Filed under: Ananas comosus (pineapple)
Lineage: Eukaryota; Viridiplantae; Streptophyta; Magnoliopsida; Poales; Bromeliaceae
Description: long non-coding RNA (ACOM_LNC040038)
Source: RNAcentral